CCUACGGGAGGCAGCAGUGAGGAAUAUUGGUCAAUGGGCGGGAGCCUGAACCAGCCAAGUCGCGUGAGGGAAGACGGUCCUAUGGAUUGUAAACCUCUUUAGGCGGGGAGCAAUGCCGGGCACGUGUGCCCGGAGGGAGAGUACCCGCAGAAUAAGCAUCGGCUAACUCCGUGCCAGCAGCCGCGGUAAUACGGGGGAUGCGAGCGUUAUCGGGAUUUAUUGGGUUAAAGGGGUGCGCAGGGGGUCUGUUAAGUAAGCGGGAAAAGCCCGGGGCUCAACCCAGGCGAGCCGUUGAAACUGGCUGGCUGGAGUUGGAGAGAAGUACGCGGAAUGCGCGGUGUAGCGGUGAAAUGCUUAGAUAUCGCGCAGAACCCCGAUUGCGAAGGCAGCGUACCGGCUCCACACUGACGCUGAGGUACGAAAGCGUGGGUAUCGAACAGGAUUAGAUACCCCUGUAGUC
RNAcentral lists this ribosomal RNA (460 nucleotides) under uncultured bacterium. RNAcentral describes it as "partial 16S ribosomal RNA". It matches the Rfam family "Bacterial small subunit ribosomal RNA", at positions 338 to 795 of the family's 1533-position model. The record is from RNAcentral.